GGAUGUGAGGGCGAUCUGGCUGCGACAUCUGUCACCCCAUUGAUCGCCAGGGUUGAUUCGGCUGAUCUGGCUGGCUAGGCGGGUGUCCCCUUCCUCCCUCACCGCUCCAUGUGCGUCCCUCCCGAAGCUGCGCGCUCGGUCGAAGAGGACGACCAUCCCCGAUAGAGGAGGACCGUUCUUCGGUCAAGGGUAUACGAGUAGCUGCGCUCCCCUGCUAGAACCUCCAAACAAGCUCUCAAGGUUCCAGGCCAACCCAGGCAAAAAUUGAUACUAUCUCAAAAAUACUUAACACAAAAAAAAUGCU
This 304-nucleotide small nuclear RNA is filed under the name Castor canadensis (American beaver). Its description in RNAcentral is "7SK RNA (ENSCCNG00000017458.1)". It matches the Rfam family "7SK RNA". From Rfam's summary of the family: 7SK was discovered as an abundant small nuclear RNA in the mid-70s but a possible function has only recently been suggested. Two independent studies have found that 7SK RNA binds the CDK9/cyclin T complex (known as elongation factor P-TEFb). P-TEFb activates transcription by phosphorylating the C-terminal domain of RNA polymerase II. The record is from Rfam by way of RNAcentral. Lineage: Eukaryota; Metazoa; Chordata; Mammalia; Rodentia; Castoridae.